GCGUGCGGCUGCUAUACUUGCAGUCGAGCGCGGGAAGCAAACUGAAUCCUUCGGGAGGACGUUUGUGGAACGAGCGGCGGACGGGUGAGUAACACGUGGGCAACCUGCCUGUAAGACUGGGAUAACUCCGGGAAACCGGGGCUAAUACCGGAUAACUCAUCGGAUCGCAUGAUCCGAGGUUGAAAGAUGGCUUCUUGCUAUCACUUACAGAUGGGCCCGCGGCGCAUUAUCUAGUUGGUGAGGUAACGGCUCACCAAGGCCACGAUGCGUAGCCGACCUGAGAGGGUGAUCGGCCACACUGGGACUGAGACACGGCCCACACUCCUACGGGAGGCAGCAGUAGGGAAUCAUCCGCAAUGGACGAAAGUCUGACGGUGCAACGCCGCGUGAGUGAGGAAGGCCUUCGGGUCGUAAAACUCUGUUGUUAGGGAAGAACAAGUUCCGUUCGAAUAGGGCGGAGCCUUGACGGUACCUAACCAGAAAGCCACGGCUAACUACGUGCCAACAGCCGCGGUAAUAUA
This 521-nucleotide ribosomal RNA is filed under the name uncultured Piscibacillus sp. Its description in RNAcentral is "bacterial SSU rRNA". It matches the Rfam family "Bacterial small subunit ribosomal RNA", at positions 35 to 527 of the family's 1533-position model. Lineage: Bacteria; Bacillati; Bacillota; Bacilli; Caryophanales; Bacillaceae. The record is from RNAcentral.